Colias croceus (clouded yellow) is the source of this 484-nucleotide long non-coding RNA. RefSeq lists it as uncharacterized. Lineage: Eukaryota; Metazoa; Arthropoda; Insecta; Lepidoptera; Pieridae. The transcript has 3 exons. The record is from RefSeq and is a predicted model, not a curated record.
UAAAUAUGAAGAAAGAACACUUUGGGAUAUUUUGCUUAUUGUAUUUUCUAUUUCAGGUGGUAGGCACGCUCGCUUGCAAGCGCAAGCCGUCGUGUCGCCCGCCGCGCUGCCCCGGCGGCUGCAAGCCCAAGUACUGGUGAACAAGCUCUGAAAUUUAUACUCGAUUCUACGUUGACGAUAUCGAACAAAUAUGUUGGUGGCAGGCAACCUGUGCUGGUGGAUCGCCUGGUGUAUCCUCAGCUUUUUAACUCUGACGCAAGCGUGUAAGAAGCGAACCAUUUGCCGCCCGCCGCCGGACGGCCGGCCCGGCUGUGGCGGGAGAUGAUAUUAAGCCACAGAUUAUACACGAUCAGUGUUGCUACAUAAAAUAAAUCAUUUUCUUCCAGUUUCUUGUGAAUAAAUUACCAUAUUUAGUUCUGAUUAUUCAGGAAAAAAUUAUUGUUACUUAGCUCUUGGAUACUCAAAAUAAAUCAUGUUACUCUAC